CUGUUUUACAAAAUUUUCCGCUUAUAUCUUACUUAACAAAAGUUUACUUCAAAAUUUUCUAUUUAUUGCAAAUUUAAUUUAUCGUUUUGUUUAACUUUUAAUUAUUCAAGGUUAUGUCUAAUGUCCGUGUCACACCCAUACCUGUCGUUGUUGACAGCGCUACUCUCGAAGUUAUUAAGGAGUACAUUUACCUGGGACAACUGAUCCGCAUGAAUACCUCAGUCUCUGAAGACAAAAUUGUUUGAGCAGUGUGUGU
RNAcentral lists this unclassified non-coding RNA (256 nucleotides) under Melitaea cinxia (Glanville fritillary). RNAcentral describes it as "misc RNA ENSMCXG00005003109.1". The record is from RNAcentral. Lineage: Eukaryota; Metazoa; Arthropoda; Insecta; Lepidoptera; Nymphalidae.